ACAUGCAAGUCGGCUGGAAUUCUUCUUCGGAAGAUAGUACGGUGGCGGACGGGUGAGUAACGCGUAAAGAAUUUGCCCUUCAGACUGGGACAACUAACCGAAAGGUUAGCUAAUACCGGAUAUUAUGAGACCUUGGCAUCAAGGACUUAUGAAAGCUAUAUGCGCUGAAGGAGAACUUUGCGUCCCAUUAGGUAGUUGGUAGGGUAAUGGCCUACCAAGCCGACGAUGGGUAGCCGGCCUGAGAGGGUGAACGGCCACAAGGGGACUGAGACACGGCCCUUACUCCUACGGGAGGCAGCAGUGGGGAAUAUUGGACAAUGGACCAAAAGUCUGAUCCAGCAAUU
RNAcentral lists this ribosomal RNA (344 nucleotides) under uncultured Ilyobacter sp. Its description in RNAcentral is "bacterial SSU rRNA". It matches the Rfam family "Bacterial small subunit ribosomal RNA", at positions 53 to 395 of the family's 1533-position model. Lineage: Bacteria; Fusobacteriati; Fusobacteriota; Fusobacteriia; Fusobacteriales; Fusobacteriaceae. The record is from RNAcentral.